AAGGGAGACCUAAUUCAGGUAUGGGACGAAAAAAAAGUAGUCGCUACCAAGAAUCAAUCCCAAAAGGUCGGAGCGAGGUAUGAGGCUUUCAAACUAGGUUCUGGGUUCAAACAAGACCUGAAUCAGGAACAAGGGCUAUUAGCUCAGGUGGUUAGAGCGCACCCCUGAUAAGGGUGAGGUCCCUGGUUCGAGUCCAGGAUGGCCCACCUGCACAGGUGGCAAAAACAAGAGAAGCGAGGAAUCAGCACCUUAUCUUAUCUAUAUAUAUAUAGGAGAGAAUGCUGGCUCUGAGUAAAGAGUCCAGAGGAACCUUGAAAACUGCAUAGAGCUAGGUGAAAAAGCCAAAAAAGAGGACCGCAAGGUCAAGCUAAUAAGGGCUAACGGUGGAUACCUAGGCAC
Molecule: transfer RNA, 399 nt
Filed under: uncultured Microcystis sp.
Lineage: Bacteria; Bacillati; Cyanobacteriota; Cyanophyceae; Chroococcales; Microcystaceae
Description: partial contains 16S-23S ribosomal RNA intergenic spacer, and 23S ribosomal RNA
Rfam family: tRNA (bases 133-206)
Source: RNAcentral